ACUCUCGGCAACGGAUAUCUAGGCUCUCGCAUCGAUGAAGAACGUAGCAAAAUGCGAUACUUGGUGUGAAUUGCAGAAUCCCGUGAACCAUCGAGUUUUUGAACGCAAGUUGCGCUCGAAGCCAUUAGGCUGAGGGCACGUCUGCUUGGGAGUCUCA
Molecule: ribosomal RNA, 157 nt
Filed under: Primula marginata
Lineage: Eukaryota; Viridiplantae; Streptophyta; Magnoliopsida; Ericales; Primulaceae
Description: 5.8S ribosomal RNA
Rfam family: 5.8S ribosomal RNA
About the family: 5.8S ribosomal RNA (5.8S rRNA) is a component of the large subunit of the eukaryotic ribosome. It is transcribed by RNA polymerase I as part of the 45S precursor that also contains 18S and 28S rRNA.
Source: RNAcentral